Molecule: ribosomal RNA, 468 nt
Filed under: uncultured bacterium
Lineage: Bacteria
Description: partial 16S ribosomal RNA
Rfam family: Bacterial small subunit ribosomal RNA
Source: RNAcentral
GACGAACGCUGGCGGCGUGCUUAACACAUGCAAGUCGAACGGAAAGGCCCUGCUUUUGUGGGGUGCUCGAGUGGCGAACGGGUGAGUAACCCGUGAGUAACCUGCCCUUGACUUUGGGAUCACUUCAGGGAACUGGGGCUAAUACCGGAUAGGAGCUCCUGAUGCGUGGUGGGGGUUGGAAAGUUUCGGCGGUUGGGGAUGGACUGGCGGGUUAUCUGCUUGUUGGUGGGGCAGUGGCUUACCAAGGCUUUGACGGGUAGCCGGCCUGGGAGGGUGACCGGCCACAUUGGGACUGAGAUACGGCCCAGACUCCUACGGGAGGCAGCAGUGGGGAAUAUUGCACAAUGGGCGGAAGCCUGAUGCAGCAACGCCGCGUGCGGGAUGACGGCCUUCGGGUUGUAAACCGCUUUCGCCUGUGACGAAGCGUGAGUGACGGUAAUGGGUAAAGAAGCACCGGCUAACUACGUG